RNAcentral lists this microRNA precursor (92 nucleotides) under Felis catus (domestic cat). Its description in RNAcentral is "mir-544 microRNA precursor family". It matches the Rfam family "mir-544 microRNA precursor family". The record is from Rfam by way of RNAcentral. Lineage: Eukaryota; Metazoa; Chordata; Mammalia; Carnivora; Felidae. RNAcentral also lists the same sequence under 1 other name.
ACCAUCUGGGGAUCUUGUUAAAAUGCAGAUUCUGAUUUGGUAGGCAUUAGGUGGAGAUUCUGCAUUUCUAACAAACUUCAAGGUGAUGCUGA